UUAAAAAUGUAAUGUAUGUCGCUUUGGAUAAAAGCGUCAGCUAAAUGACUUGUA
This is a non-coding RNA of Gasterosteus aculeatus (three-spined stickleback), 54 nucleotides long. The record is from Rfam. NCBI's taxonomy places the organism in Eukaryota, Metazoa, Chordata, Actinopteri, Perciformes, Gasterosteidae.